UACGUAGGGGGCAAGCGUUGUCCGGAAUCAUUGGGCGUAAAGCGCGCGCAGGCGGCCCGGUAAGUCCGCUCUGAAAGUCCAGGGCUCAACCCUGGAAAGCGGGUGGAUACUGCCGGGCUAGAAUCCGGAAGAGGCGAGUGGAAUUCCUGGUGUAGCGGUGGAAUGCGCAGAUAUCAGGAGGAACACCAAUAGCGAAGGCAGCUCGCUGGGACGGUAUUGACGCUAAGGCGCGAAAGCGUGGGGAGCGAACGGG
This 253-nucleotide ribosomal RNA is filed under the name uncultured bacterium. RNAcentral describes it as "partial 16S ribosomal RNA". It matches the Rfam family "Bacterial small subunit ribosomal RNA", at positions 524 to 776 of the family's 1533-position model. The record is from RNAcentral.